RNAcentral lists this long non-coding RNA (1289 nucleotides) under Parus major (Great Tit). RNAcentral's name for it is "lncRNA (ENSPMJG00000002637.1)". The record is from RNAcentral. Lineage: Eukaryota; Metazoa; Chordata; Aves; Passeriformes; Paridae.
AUUGUUUCCAUCUGUGCCUACAGGAGAAAUUUUAAAUCUUAGAGUUUAAAAUUCUGAAACAUCCUUAAAGACACAAUUAAGUAAUUAAUUUUCUUAAGGAUUUUUUUUUCAGCUGGUGUACCUGCAACAAGCAAACUGACCCUAGCCUUCUGUAGAAGCCAAAUAGCAAUAGGUUAGUAGCACCUCAGUUCUAACUCCUACUAUGAAUUAACAUCUCGGAUCUGUGCUCUUAAACUACCUGCUGUUCUCCUUACCAGCACUGCAGUAAAGACCUGUGCAGCUACUCCUCCCACGACAGAGCUGCUGCUGAAGCUGAGUGUCUUGGGUUGCAAUGCAAGAGGUAAUCAAAAGUAUGUAUUCUACUACCAUCUGUUGACACCAGGUGGAGCACUGUUCUUUAUCUCUUCCAUGACUCAUCCUUCCUCCAGGGGAUACCUUCUGUUAAUGGGCCAUUGAGUCUUACAGCAUGACUGAUAAAAUUACAUCAUCCCAUUGUAAAAUGCUCCACCCAGGGGAGGAGUCAAGCAUUCCUGCCUGGAUAUAAUCUGAGGCUUCAAACACCACAGUCAGCCUUUCUCCACUGGAUUCCCAGAGGAAGACCAGACCCAUCUACACCACCACUAGACCUUCAGAGGAAAACUACAUCCUUCUACAGGACCAUUGCAUUAACAGAACCACAUUUGUCACUCCAGGAGGACUGUAGCCACCAUUUAAUUGGCCUGCUACCAACGCCCUGAUCAACAGGGAGUCAAGUUGUAUCCUGACUGUUAGUGUUUUUUGUAAUACUGCAUUUUUAUUUUAGUUUUCCUGUUGCAGUCUGUUUGUUUAAUUUUGUUAAGUGUUCAGUUGGUACAUUCCUGUUGCUCCCCUAUCGUUAUGUAAUGGUUCUGACCCCAAAUGUCAAUAUUGUUAACCCCUCCUCUUGUUCCUGAAAGUUCCUUGCCAGUCACCUUCACCCUGCCCCUUCUCCCUAUCCAUCAAUGUAAACCCCACUUUUCCUUCCAUUUCCUUCUAUGUCUUUUAUCCCUCACCUAGUACCUGAUUCGUUACAAAGUUGUUGUCCCACCUCUGUUGUAGUUCCAUUGGCCCACAGCGUUGUGAACCCCUCCCUUGAUUCCUCCCUGUGUAAGCCCUGAUUGGUCCCUGGAUUGUACCCACCCCUGCUUAAAACCCGAUGCACAGAGGUGCUCAAGGCUCCUUCUCUGGUUCCUUCAUCCCAGCCUGAACCCUGUCACUAUUUCCUUCUUCUCGUUAAUAAACUUGUUCCUGCGAAGUACGAGAGACUGAGC